UGGGGAAUAUUGGACAAUGGGCGAAAGCCUGAUCCAGCCAUGCCGCGUGUGUGAAGAAGGUCUUCGGAUUGUAAAGCACUUUAAGUUGGGAGGAAGGGCAGUAAGCGAAUACCUUGCUGUUUUGACGUUACCGACAGAAUAAGCACCGGCUAACUCUGUGCCAGCAGCCGCGGUAAUACAGAGGGUGCAAGCGUUAAUCGGAAUUACUGGGCGUAAAGCGCGCGUAGGUGGUUCGUUAAGUUGAAUGUGAAAGCCCCGGGCUCAACCUGGGAACUGCAUCCAAAACUGGCGAGCUAGAGUAGGGCAGAGGGUGGUGAAAUUUCCUGUGUAGCGGUGAAAUGCGUAGAUAUAGGAAGGAACACCAGUGGCGAAGGCAGCCAUCUGGCCUAACACUGACGCUGAGGUACGAAAGCAUGGGGAGCAAACAGG
Molecule: ribosomal RNA, 429 nt
Filed under: Pseudomonadota bacterium
Lineage: Bacteria; Pseudomonadati; Pseudomonadota
Description: Proteobacteria bacterium partial 16S ribosomal RNA
Rfam family: Bacterial small subunit ribosomal RNA
Source: RNAcentral